Arabidopsis thaliana (thale cress) is the source of this 108-nucleotide small nucleolar RNA. It matches the Rfam family "Plant small nucleolar RNA R71". Rfam says of the family: R71 is a member of the C/D box family of snoRNAs containing the C (UGAUGA) and D (CUGA) box motifs. The record is from Rfam. NCBI's taxonomy places the organism in Eukaryota, Viridiplantae, Streptophyta, Magnoliopsida, Brassicales, Brassicaceae.
AGGUGAAGUAUGAGGGCAUUGAGUAGUGUAUCCCUUGUAGUGUUCCCAUACUUCAGAGAAGGAUUCAGAUUGCUUCUGUGUGAAACCCGAGAUCUCAUUCCUCAAUCU